GGACAGGGGACUCAGUCUCUGAUUUUGCUUUCCUCUAUAUUCUCCGGAUAUAUUCCCUCUCUUGUCCGGAUCUGCGGGGGGGGGGGUGUCCCGCACCCAAAGACCACUCCAUUAAAAACAAGAGUGCGUCAUGAAAGGGGAGGGGUAGCAUGACGCCUGCAAGGGCGAGUUUACAGGGUCCUGGAUUGUGUUUCCCUUGGGCUGGGGGAGGGGAACUGGGGACGGGGGUACUAGGGAGCUGUGAGACACUACCACAGGGGUAGUAUAGUCUGAGGAAGGAAGAAUGAGAAGGGACAGGCGGAGGGAGUGAGAAGAACAAACUGGCGCCUGGGUCUCACGUUGGUUUAUUUGUUGGCUUCAAGUCCCAAUUGAUGUCCAUUAGCACGACACGAAAGUGAGGAGCUGUUAAUGCGGACUAUGAAUCGAUCCGUGUCAUUAUGGAUUAAGGGCCAGAAUCUAUCAUCGAGUAGGGCAGGGAGAGCUGGAUGAAUGGAAAGAAGGGAAAGAAAAGAUACAGCUCGUAGGAGACUCACCUGGCCAGCCCCUCCCCCAAGCUCAGGUGGGAGUCAAACUGCCCCUCCCCUCCCCCACCGAAAGUCUAGACAGAAAGAAAGCACAGCACAGGCCUCGGAGUCCAGGAGGGAAUCUGGAGGGGGCGCUGGAGGAGUGGGAAACGGGGAUCAGGGAAUGGGAGGGGGAAAAGACAACUCCCGACCGGCUAGCUUUACGUUUGAGGGCCCAGUGGGGGAGGGGCUAUGGGUUUGGUGUGGUGACCCCAGGCCUCAGUUUCUCCUCUCUGCGUAACAGGUUCCUCUUUUGGGCCCAGCGGUCGGCGAGGCCGCCAGACCUACACCCGCUACCAGACCCUGGAGCUGGAGAAGGAAUUUCACUACAAUCGCUACCUGACCCGCCGGCGGCGCAUAGAGAUCGCGCACGCCCUGUGCCUGACCGAGCGGCAGAUCAAGAUCUGGUUUCAGAACCGGCGCAUGAAGUGGAAAAAGGAGAGCAAACUGCUCAGUGCGUCUCAGCUCAGUGCGGAGGAGGAGGAAGAAAAGCCGGCCGAGUGAAGGUGCUGCCAAGGGAGGGGGGACGCGAAGGGAGAGGUCUGAGGGGGAACCUAGGGCACCCGAAAGCCCCAGAAGGCUCUGCGGUCGGGGGACUUGCUGUCCAGCGCAAGACGGGCGGGGCCCAGCGCUUUCCUGGAUGCCCCCCUCCUGCAGAGCUCUUCCUGGGCGCUUGAAGGAUGCCCACCCCAGCACCCCAGCGCCUCCUCCCUCCCCGAAGAACCCACCUUGGCCUCAGCAGGCUCUCUGGUGAGAACUGAGAAUCGGACUCACUUGAUGUCUCCUGGAAGCAGAGCAGAAUGCUCUUGUCCUUGUCGAGUCUCAUUUCCUUCAUGUCCCCCGUGCACGGUUCAAUGGUAGAUUCGCUGUCCCCUCAGCAGGGACCUGAAAGACUCCCUGACCCCAGACUUGUCUCUCCUACCCCCUCCCCAAAGCCACUGGAAGGAGCACAUACUACCUAGAAGUAAGAAGAGGAGCCUCAGAAGAAAACAAAGUUCUAUUUUAUUAAUUUUCUAUGUGUUGUGUUUGUAGUCUUGUCUUAGCUCUGGACGUGAAAUACUUCGGUAAUAAUAUUAAUAUUAUUAAUAAUGAUUAUGAUGAUGAUGAUGAUAAUAAAGAUGUGAAAACCCGCAGCUCAAUCAC
This 1706-nucleotide long non-coding RNA is filed under the name Rattus norvegicus (Norway rat). RNAcentral describes it as "long non-coding RNA NONRATT004804". The record is from RNAcentral. Lineage: Eukaryota; Metazoa; Chordata; Mammalia; Rodentia; Muridae.